Bison bison bison is the source of this 108-nucleotide small nuclear RNA. The record is from Ensembl. Lineage: Eukaryota; Metazoa; Chordata; Mammalia; Artiodactyla; Bovidae.
GAGCGACUUCACUUUCACUUUCAUACUAAAAUUGGAAUGGUACAGAGAAGAUUAGCAUGGCCCCUGCACAAGUAUGACAUGCAAAUCUGUGAAAUAGUCCAUAUUUUU